This 1337-nucleotide ribosomal RNA is filed under the name metagenome. RNAcentral describes it as "bacterial SSU rRNA". It matches the Rfam family "Bacterial small subunit ribosomal RNA", at positions 27 to 1366 of the family's 1533-position model. The record is from RNAcentral.
GGAUGGACGCUGGCGGCGUGGAUAAGGCAUGCAAGUCGAACGGGUCAUUUUUGGUAGCAAUACCGGAAAUGAUUAGUGGCGAACGAGUUAGUAACACCUUGGCAUCUACCUCAAAGUCGGGCAUAAUCCGCCGAAAGGCGGACUAAUUCCCGAUAGCAUCAGUGUCGCAAGAUAUUGAUUAAAGGCGCAAGCCGCUUUGAGAGGAGCCUAGGUCCUAUCAGCUAGUUGGUGAGGUAACGGCCCACCAAGGCAAUGACGGGUAGGGGGUGUGAGAGCACGACCCCCAACGACGAAGCUGAGACACGGUUCGUACACCUACGGGUGGCAGCAGUCAAGAACAUUCGACAAUGGGCGAAAGCCUGAUCGAGCGACGCCGCGUGCAGGAAGAAGGGUUUCGGCCUGUAAACUGCUUUUCACCGGGAACAAGUCCGGUCUUUAUGACCGGAUUGAGCGUACCGGUGGAAUAAGAGGUUGGUAACUACGUGCCAGCACCCGCGGUAAUACGUAGACCUCAAGCGUUAUCCGGAUUUAUUGGGCGUAAAGGGUCUCCAGGUGGUUUGGUUAGUCGGGCGUUAAAUGCCACUGCCCAACGGUGGCGCCGCGCGCGAUACGGCCAGACUAGAGGAAUGGAGAGGGAGUGGGAACUCACGGUGUAGGGGUGAAAUCCGUUGAUAUCGUGGGGAACACCAAAGGCGAAGGCAAACUCCUGGCCAUUACCUGACACUCAUGAGACGAAAGCGUGGGCAGAAAAAAGGAUUAGAUACCCUUGUAUUCCACGCCGUAAACGAUGCACGCUCGUUGUUCCGAGUAUCGACCCUCGGAGUGACUUAGCUUACGCGUUAAGCGUGCCGCCUGGGAAGUACGAGCGCAAGCUUAAAACUCAAAGGAAUAGACGGGGAUUCGCACAAGCGGUGGACCAUGUGGUUCAAUUCGACGGCAACCGAGGAACCUCACCAGGGCUUGAAAUGGCAGUGACAUUCCGGGGAAACUCGGAACUUCUCACAAGGACACUGUCACAGGUGAUGCACGGCCCUCGUCAGUUCGUGAUGUGAAUUGUUCCCUUAAGUGGGGUAACGAACGCAACCCCCGUUGCAUGUUAUAUGUGUCAUGCGAGACUGCCUUCUUAUAGAAGGAGGAAGGAGGGGAUGACGCGAGGUCAGCGUGUCCCUUUGAUGCCCUGGGCUACACACGUGGUACAAUGGCGCGUACAAUGGGUCGCCAAGUCGCGAGACGGAGCUAAUCCCAUCAAAACGCGCCCCAGUUCAGAUUGGAGUCUGCAACUCGACUCCAUGAAGCCGGAAUCGCUAGUAAACGCAAAUCAGCUAUGUUGCGUUGAA